GCUCCAGUAGCGUAUGCUAACGUUGUUGCGGUUAAAAAGCUCGUAGUUGGAUUUCUGGUUCGGCGUACCUGGUCCUCGGCUCCUAGUGGGCCGUGAGUACCGGUUGUGACGCUAGCCAUCCUUCGGGAGAGUGAGCGCGGCGCUUAACGGCGCUGCGCCGCCAUCUCGAUCUUUUACUUUGAACAAUUAGAGUGUUUAAA
Molecule: ribosomal RNA, 200 nt
Filed under: uncultured eukaryote
Lineage: Eukaryota
Description: partial 18S ribosomal RNA
Rfam family: Eukaryotic small subunit ribosomal RNA
Source: RNAcentral